UACGUAGGGGGCAAGCGUUGUCCGGAAUCAUUGGGCGUAAAGCGCGUGUAGGCGGUUCGGUAAGUCGGCUGUGAAAGUCCAGGGCUCAACCCUGGGAUGCCGGUCGAUACUGCCGGACUAGAGUUCGGAAGAGGCGAGUGGAAUUCCCGGUGUAGCGGUGAAAUGCGCAGAUAUCGGGAGGAACACCAAUGGCGAAGGCAGCUCGCUGGGACGUAACUGACGCUGAGACGCGAAAGCUAGGGGAGCAAACAGG
Molecule: ribosomal RNA, 253 nt
Filed under: uncultured bacterium
Lineage: Bacteria
Description: partial 16S ribosomal RNA
Rfam family: Bacterial small subunit ribosomal RNA
Source: RNAcentral